Molecule: RNA transcript, 700 nt
Organism: Ailuropoda melanoleuca (giant panda)
Lineage: Eukaryota; Metazoa; Chordata; Mammalia; Carnivora; Ursidae
Exons: 4
Source: RefSeq, a predicted model, not a curated record
UAAUAUAAUAUGUGUAACAUGUCCAUUAUACCUCAGUUAAAAAAAAAAACGCAGGCAUCUGACCCUUUUGGGGGAAGCGGAUGACAGCUCCAGCCCUCUCCCCAGAAAUCUACAGCUGCCCACACAGUCCCCCCUCACUUGCCAAGCCUCACCGGGUGGAAAUUUAGCAAUCACCUGUCCACCCACCCUAUUUCCCACAGAAGAAAAGUUGGGUGGUGCUGGGGAGGGGCUAUGAGUCAAGGCUAAGGACUCUGAGCCAGGUUGGGUGGGGCUCCUCAGAAAUCCUUGGGCACGCCCUUCCCCCCUGCCCUCCGGGCACUCUCGGCCCUUCCCACAGACCUCCUCUCACCACCACGGAGUUCGACCUGGCCGCAGCCCUGGACUCCAAGAAGCCCCAGGGGACGGGCCAGGUGGGAGACCACAAACACAGCCCCUCCAAGGUGCAGGGCGCGUCAGAGGCGGGGGCCGCUGAUAAAAUGAGGGGCCGCGGUCACCGCAGCUCCUCGGACUCCAGCAGCAGCAGCUCCAGCGACUCCGACGUGGAAGCAAAGCCUCACGCUGCCGCCUCGGAAGGGCACAAAAGCGCGCCGGGCAAGGUGAAGAAGCCCAAGGUGAAAAAGGAGAAGAAAGGGAAGGCGAAGAAGGAGGCUCCUCGCUGACGGGCCCGGGCGAAUCUCAUUAAACCUUUGCUCGGCUCUCG